CCUGGUGGCUUUGGCGAGGAGUCUGAACCCGAUCCCAUCCCGAACUCGGCCGUKAAACUCSWCAGCGCCGAUGGUACUAUGUCUCAAGACCUGGGAGAGUAGGUCGCUGCCAGGC
This 115-nucleotide ribosomal RNA is filed under the name Nostoc linckia z1. The record is from RNAcentral. Lineage: Bacteria; Bacillati; Cyanobacteriota; Cyanophyceae; Nostocales; Nostocaceae.